This is a small nucleolar RNA of Tripterygium wilfordii, 81 nucleotides long. RefSeq annotates it as small nucleolar RNA J33. The record is from RefSeq and is a predicted model, not a curated record. The transcript has a single exon. NCBI's taxonomy places the organism in Eukaryota, Viridiplantae, Streptophyta, Magnoliopsida, Celastrales, Celastraceae.
CUGUGAGGGGUAUGAUGUACUAUUAUAGGGCUCUUAAGAUGCUCGCCUUCCUUGAUUCUGCUUCUGAGAUGGACAUUCGAA